UUCCCAUUUCUUACAUUCACUCUCAGCCCUGCAGCCUUAUAAAUGGUAAUUGGUGUCCACGCUGGGGCUGUGAAAGGCAUCUUGGCUGCUCACGGGCUUUCCGCACCUCCUCCCUAAGUCUCCUGUCUCCACCAUCUUAAGCCACUCCAACCCGGUUGAUCUGUUCUCUGCCCUUCUCCCCUAACUGCAGGUCAUUAAGAAAAGCCUUCUGCACAGAGAUCGUGCAGAUUGUGUCAGCAAGUGCCAAGUGUCUGCUUUGCUUCACAGGGGCGGCUCAGGGGAAAUGCCUUCAUUCCAGCUUAGGAGUGAGCUGCAAUCCUUCUUGCUCCUCUGCUGACCAAGGGAGGGUUCCCAGAGCAGAGCUGACUAGGGACUAGCAGUGACUGCUUUGUUUAAUUUGCCUGUCUUUACUGGUGAAAACCAGGAAUCUACCCUUCCUCAGCCAGUCAGAGUUCCCAGGCGGGAAUGUUGCAUCCAGCCUUCACUCUGGGGUCUUCUUUAUGGGGCCUCUGUGUGAGGAUCUCACCACUGCCGUGAGCUAUAGAGAGUGUUGCUGCUUUCUCUCAGAGUGUACGUUGUAUUUCCUGGGAUCGUUUGCUUUACAAUUAACCGUCAGUGGAUGCUUUUGGGUGCGGUAAGCAUAGAGAAUAAUGACCACACAAAUCCAAGUCACAGCACACCUGUAAGAAGCUGUGAGGAGAGUUGGGUACACAUAACUGGACCUUAUCUGAGAGAUGGGGGACAUGGAGGCUCCAGCCUGAGCAUUUACCACCAGAGCUGAAGGGGAGAUUUAUAAUGAGCCAGACCCAGAUCCAGGAUUGUUUUCAUGUCGAGAUGCGGGAUUUCUCUGCUGAAGCGUGCAAAGCCAGACAUCAAAAGCUUGUUCCAAAGGAGCCAUUGUGGCAUUAAUUUUAUAAACUGCGAGGAGCCAAAGGCCUGUAAAGGUUCACUUAUCAGAAGCCAAAAUGCUAUUUUUGCCAGGUUUUCUUCUCUUACUGCCCUGCUAUUGCAUAUUGUCUUGCAAACAAUCAGGAAGACCAUGAAGCUUCGUCUACACGAGUGAAGACAAGAGAGAAUUCUGGGAGACAGACCUCCACGCUCUAAAUGGUCUCAGUUCAUCCCGGUUCCAACAAAAGCAUUCAUCUGUGAGACUCCUCCCUGCGGACACUUGGCUGUACCAGUAAGCUUCUCACGAUGCCUCUUAGAGAGACCAAACAGUUCCUGAAUGAAGGUGGAGCCAUGGCUCCUGGGGAAUCUGCCCUUCCGGUCGUUCCACCGGGAAUGGGAAGAGAAGAGUGUGCCUUUGAGCCUGGAAGCACAGCAGUAGUGACUCCCAUUGACCAGCCUUGUCUCUGAGAAAGCAGCCAGCGAGUGAUUGAGAUGGAGGCAGGAGUGAGAAGAGUUCUUAGUCCCGGGUUCUGUUCCUAGACAGCACAGAGGCCCACACUUGCCCUUGUUCUGUUGGAAACAGCAGGGGUUUCAAUGUCUAAAUUCCAAAAGCUCUAUCUGGCCUCCUGCAGAGAAGGAAGCUGCUCCUUAGGCACCUGGGUCUGCAAGGUCCUUUGCUUAGGGUUUUCUGCAGGAACCCAGCUACCACCUCAUGUGCUUUAGGGGCAGGCUGCAAGCCUCCUGGUGUUGAAGCAAUGCCAUCUGGGAAGUUAGCAGAGAUUGUCUCCAAUAGCUUAUUCCUCCAAGCCUUCCAGUCAAUUCACCUAAGGAAGUGGGGGACCUUCUUGCCCAUGGAGGACAAAGGUAGGAAGGAGUCUGUUUGUUCUGUGCUUGGACAAGUCAGGCUGAGACAAUGGGGAAACUCACAGCUGAGAACUAGCCCAGGUUGCUUAAACUGUACUUACACCACCCCGUGAGCAAAGCACAUGAGCACUUUCUCACUGGCAGGCUCCCACUGGGCUCUCUGCAGUUCCCCUCUCAGUGGAGAGUCACUCAGAUGGGGCUCUGUGUAUCUGCUGCAUUCUUCUUGAGACAUCAGUCUUGUGGCCUGGGUGGUCUCCUCUCUGCCCCUGAGCUCAGGUCAGCUUCACUAGAAGCUGGUGUGCGCACACUCACACCAAACUGAGACUUCCACUCCUUGGCACCCUUCACCUCCUGAGGGAGCUCUGUGGCCUUGCCCACCACUGAAGCACCAUCUCAGAGGUGCCAAGCAUGCCCUUGGAUGCUCACAGCCUUUUUCUGCCACUGAUGUCUUUUGGGUUUCACCCACCCUGCCGCGUCAGCCUUUAAAACCUGUUUAUGCCAGCUGAGCUUGUCACUGGAACUGUGUAAUGUAAUUAGGUUUGGCGUAACUUUGUGAAACAUGAGCCUGAAAAAAAAAUGAGGCUUGUUUCUAAGAAAAUGAAGUCGAGUCUUGGGAUGACUGAGUCAAGACCAGUCAUCAAGUGGGACUGCUGUCAAGUUAGGUGUGGCUGAGGAAAAAGUAAAACAAGGAGAAAAAUAAAAGAAAGCUGAAGCGAUUUUGCAGAAAAUGAGU
Mus musculus (house mouse) is the source of this 2485-nucleotide long non-coding RNA. RefSeq annotates it as predicted gene, 53783. The record is from RefSeq and is a predicted model, not a curated record. NCBI's taxonomy places the organism in Eukaryota, Metazoa, Chordata, Mammalia, Rodentia, Muridae. The transcript has 3 exons.